AACGAACGUUGGCGGCGUGGAUUAGGCAUGCAAGUCGGGGGAAUCCCAGCAAUGGGGGAACCGGCGUAAGGGGCAGUAAUGCGUGGGUACCUACCCCGGGGUUCGGUAUAGCCUCUCGAGAGAGAGGGUAAUCCCGGAUGACGUCGUGAGACCAAAGAUUUAUCGCCCUGGGAGGGGCCCACGUGAUAUUAGCUAGUUGGUGAGGUAACGGCUCACCAAGGCGAAGAUGUCUAGCGGGUGUGAGAGCACGACCCGCGCCACUGGCACUGAGACACUGGCCAGACACCUACGGGUGGCUGCAGUCGAGGAUCUUCGGCAAUGGGCGCAAGCCUGACCGAGCGACGCCGCGUGUGCGACGAAGGCCUUCGGGUUGUAAAGCACUGUCGAGGGGGAGAAAAGCCCGAAAGGGUUUGAUCUAUCCCUGGAGGAAGCACGGGCUAAGUUCGUGCCAGCCGCCGCCGUAAGAC
This 467-nucleotide ribosomal RNA is filed under the name uncultured bacterium. RNAcentral describes it as "bacterial SSU rRNA". It matches the Rfam family "Bacterial small subunit ribosomal RNA", at positions 28 to 526 of the family's 1533-position model. The record is from RNAcentral.